Molecule: ribosomal RNA, 176 nt
Filed under: uncultured bacterium
Lineage: Bacteria
Description: partial 16S ribosomal RNA
Rfam family: Bacterial small subunit ribosomal RNA
Source: RNAcentral
UCCAUGAAGCUGGAUUCGCUAGUAAUCGCGCAUCAGCCACGGCGCGGUGAAUACGUUCCCGGGCCUUGUACACACCGCCCGUCAAGCCAUGGGAGCCGGGAGUGCCUGAAGUACGUGACCGCAAGGAGCGUCCUAGGGUAAGACCGGUGACUGGGGCUAAGUCGUAACAAGGUACC